This 373-nucleotide ribosomal RNA is filed under the name uncultured organism. RNAcentral's name for it is "partial 16S ribosomal RNA". It matches the Rfam family "Bacterial small subunit ribosomal RNA", at positions 527 to 896 of the family's 1533-position model. The record is from RNAcentral.
GUAGGUGGCAAGCGUUGUCCGGAAUUAUUGGGCGUAAAGCGCGCGCAGGUGGGUUCUUUAAGUCUGAUGUGAAAGCCCCCGGGCUCAACCGGGGAGGGUCAUUGGAAACUGGGGAACUUGAGUGCAGGAGAGGAAAGUGGAAUUCCACGUGUAGCGGUGAAAUGCGUAGAUAUGUGGAGGAACACCAGUGGCGAAGGCGACUUUCUGGCCUGUAACUGACACUGAGGCGCGAAAGCGUGGGGAGCAAACAGGAUUAGAUACCCUGGUAGUCCACGCCGUAAACGAUGAGUGCUAAGUGUUGGGGGGUUUCCGCCCCUCAGUGCUGCAGCUAACGCAUUAAGCACUCCGCCUGGGGAGUACGGCCGCAAGACCG